GUGAUAAUAGCUUAAUAUAGAGCACUGGUCUUGUAAGCCAGAGGUAAAUUUAACAUUUUUAUCACU
Molecule: transfer RNA, 66 nt
Filed under: Mitromorpha fischeri
Lineage: Eukaryota; Metazoa; Mollusca; Gastropoda; Neogastropoda; Conidae
Description: tRNA-Thr
Rfam family: tRNA
About the family: Transfer RNA (tRNA) molecules are approximately 80 nucleotides in length.
Source: RNAcentral